This 378-nucleotide ribosomal RNA is filed under the name uncultured Rhodoferax sp. RNAcentral describes it as "bacterial SSU rRNA". It matches the Rfam family "Bacterial small subunit ribosomal RNA", at positions 1002 to 1382 of the family's 1533-position model. The record is from RNAcentral. Lineage: Bacteria; Pseudomonadati; Pseudomonadota; Betaproteobacteria; Burkholderiales; Comamonadaceae.
AGAUAGAGGCGUGCUCGAAAGAGAGCCGUAACACAGGUGCUGCAUGGCUGUCGUCAGCUCGUGUCGUGAGAUGUUGGGUUAAGUCCCGCAACGAGCGCAACCCUUGUCAUUAGUUGCUACAUUCAGUUGGGCACUCUAAUGAGACUGCCGGUGACAAGCCGGAGGAAGGUGGGGAUGACGUCAAGUCCUCAUGGCCCUUAUAGGUGGGGCUACACACGUCAUACAAUGGCUGGUACAAAGGGUUGCCAACCCGCGAGGGGGAGCUAAUCCCAUAAAGCCAGUCGUAGUCCGGAUCGUAGUCUGCAACUCGACUACGUGAAGUCGGAAUCGCUAGUAAUCGUGGAUCAGAAUGUCACGGUGAAUACGUUCCCGGGUCUU